This 468-nucleotide ribosomal RNA is filed under the name uncultured bacterium. Its description in RNAcentral is "partial 16S ribosomal RNA". It matches the Rfam family "Bacterial small subunit ribosomal RNA", at positions 28 to 507 of the family's 1533-position model. The record is from RNAcentral.
GACGAACGCUGGCGGCGUGCUUAACACAUGCAAGUCGAACGGAAAGGCCCUGCUUUUGUGGGGUGCUCGAGUGGCGAACGGGUGAGUAACACGUGAGUAACCUGCCCUUUACUUUGGGAUAACUUCAGGAAACUGGGGCUAAUACCGGAUAGGAGCUCCUGCUGCAUGGUGGGGUUUGGAAAGUUUCGGCGGUUGGGGAUGGACUCGCGGCUUAUCAGCUUGUUGGUGGGGUAGUGGCUUACCAAGGCUUUGACGGGUAGCCGGCCUGAGAGGGUGACCGGCCACAUUGGGACUGAGAUACGGCCCAGACUCCUACGGGAGGCAGCAGUGGGGAAUAUUGCACAAUGGGCGGAAGCCUGAUGCAGCAACGCCGCGUGCGGGAUGACGGCCUUCGGGUUGUAAACCGCUUUCGCCUGUGACGAAGCGUGAGUGACGGUAAUGGGUAAAGAAGCACCGGCUAACUACGUG